GUAGGUGGCAAGCGUUGUCCGGAAUUAUUGGGCGUAAAGCGCGCGCAGGUGGUUCCUUAAGUCUGAUGUGAAAGCCCCCGGGCUCAACCGGGGAGGGUCAUUGGAAACUGGGGAACUUGAGUGCAGGAGAGGAAAGUGGAAUUCCACGUGUAGCGGUGAAAUGCGUAGAUAUGUGGAGGAACACCAGUGGCGAAGGCGACUUUCUGGCCUGUAACUGACACUGAGGCGCGAAAGCGUGGGGAGCAAACAGGAUUAGAUACCCUGGUAGUCCACGCCGUAAACGAUGAGUGCUAAGUGUUGGGGGGUUUCCGCCCCUCAGUGCUGCAGCUAACGCAUUAAGCACUCCGCCUGGGGAGUACGGUCGCAAAGACUG
Molecule: ribosomal RNA, 373 nt
Filed under: uncultured organism
Description: partial 16S ribosomal RNA
Rfam family: Bacterial small subunit ribosomal RNA
Source: RNAcentral